RNAcentral lists this long non-coding RNA (2329 nucleotides) under Olea europaea subsp. europaea. Lineage: Eukaryota; Viridiplantae; Streptophyta; Magnoliopsida; Lamiales; Oleaceae. The record is from RNAcentral.
CUAGAAUAGCAUUUUCCAACAAAUUUUCCAUUAAGGAAGAGUACAAGUUUACCAGAUUCAUACACACAUUUGAUACCCAAUUUUUCUAAGAGAUUACCACUUACUAAAUUCAUAUUCAUAUCUGGAACAUGUAGUGCAUUGGUAAGCUAACGAUUUUCCCGGAAGUGAAGAUGAUAUCAACAUUUCCCUUUCCAAUAACCAUGGAUCGAAACUUCGUUGCCCAUUUGAAUCUCUUGGUCUCAAUUCACCUUAUAAUAUGUUUUGAAUACAGUUUUGUCAUAUGAUAUAUGUACAGUAGCACAAGUAUCACACCACCAUCCAUGAACCUUUCCCUUGAAUGCAUUUAUUUCGUUUACGGUGGCCACGAUUUUAUCUUCUUGGAUGGAGUUCACUUUGCCCUCAAAGUUGUUUUGUUUUCGAUGCCUACAAUCUUUUGCAUAAUGUCUAGAUUUUUCACACACAAAACACCCUCCUUUGGUCUUCUUCUUAGACUUGUUAAAGUUCCUCGGAGGCUUCCUCUUGUUAGAUUUUGUUGGCGGUUCAGAUUUUUCAACAGCAUUAGCUUUGGAAGUUCCCUUAAAGGAGUUUUCACUCUUGUCACGCAAUCUGGAUUUUUCCUUGAUCCAAAAAUGCUUUUACAAUUAUUUCAAGGAAUAAUUUUCGGAACUAUGCAUGAUUUUCUUCCGGUAUCCUUUCCAAGCCCCUGGGAGUUUAGCAAUUAUGGCUCCCACUUGAAAGGUCUCCAGGAUUUCAAUCUUUACCACUUUUAGUUUGUUGACAAUGACUUGCAAUUCGUGUACUUUGGGAAGAAGCGGGAUAUUAUCAAGGAAUUUUAAAGUCGAAGUAUUUAGAAAUUAGAAACUUCUUGGUACCUUCCUCUUCCAUUUUGUACUUAUUCUCCAAUGCUUCCCAGAUUUCCUUUGCAGAAGUUGUGUUUGUGUAUGUCAUAUAAAAGGUCCGACAAAGCAUUUAGUAUGUGACCAUGGCAUAUCAAUUCAUCUUCUUGUCGUUUCUGUCUUUCAGCCUUGAUUGCCUUGAUCUCUCCAUUUGUAGGUUCCGAUAGUAGAGCCAAUUCUGGAUCCAAAAUAUAAAAGAUCUUCAAUGCAGUAAGUAGAAAUUUCAACUUGUCUUGCCACCGCACAAAGUUUGUACCAUCGAACCGAUCCAACCGUACCAAGUCUUGAUUCAUAAGUUUGAUGGUCGUCAUUGUAGUCUCGUUCUCCAUUACAAGAAAGAUUACAUUUGAAAUUGUUGGAAAUAAUUGAGAGAUGGAGAAGAAAUAAAAGAGAAAAUCACAAGAAAAUAUGGUAACAAGAUGGAUCAAAACAAAAUUUAUAUCAACAAAUGUGAAGACUUGAACACAAGAUCGUUGUCCUCAAACGUUAUUUGUCCCUUCUCCGAUAUAUUUGAGAUGCUAAAAGGUAUUUCGGCAAAUGGUUUGAAGGAUUAUAACAAGCCUUGUAAAGAAUUUCACCAAAGCACAAGAUUAAAUUCUCCAAAACUUGAAGAACACGAGGAUAUGAAUAUAAAUCGGGAUAUGAUUUUUCUUGGAACAAAGUAUGGAUUGCAAGAUAUUUUUCUUACUACUUUCCCUCAAACAUGGCUCUCCAAUAUAUAGUCAUCGACCAGAAGUACGCAAUGGUGCCAAAAAAUCAAGUGAAAAGUCACCAAUUUCAAAUUUGCAACGGUUAAAAAAUACGUACCAUGUGACAGCAUGUUACAAACCCAUGCGGUCGCAUGGUUCACCCAUGCCAAGACCAUUUGGUCUCGGCCUAAGGUCAUGUGAUCGCAUGGACCCUUUUUUUUACUUUAUUAUUUUUUGUUGUUGAUUUUGAACAACAUAAUCACAGCAAUUACAUGUUUCGAGACUUUAUUAAUUGAGCUGAGAUCCAAUAUCAUUAGAAGUGUUUGAUGUUUUGUAGCAAAUAAGCUAUUUAGCAUGCAAUAUGUUUACAUGAUUUAAGACUUGAUUAAUUGAGUUGAGAUACAAUAUCCGUUUAAAUAUUUGAUGAAUUGUGCCAAAAAUACUCUUGAGACUACGAGCAAGAGUUCCAAUUUGAAUUAGCAGGUUGAUGCAUGAUGAUGUAAUUUUUGUUAAAGUUUUCAUGCAUAUGUGAACUAAAAACUUGAUUGAUUGGAAUAUAUCCAUAAUAUGAUAUGAAGAAGAAAUUGGCACAUACAUGUUCAUUUCAAGGCUUACUGUGGCAUAUUUGAAAGAGAUCCUGUCAUGCAUAUUGAUUUCAUUGCCUACUAUGUGAUGCUUGGAUUUGCAUGUCCACUUCAACGCAAUUAUGUUAUAUUUGACUAAUUAAUACUUGCAAAGUUCUUU